Molecule: small nuclear RNA, 105 nt
Organism: Phodopus roborovskii (desert hamster)
Lineage: Eukaryota; Metazoa; Chordata; Mammalia; Rodentia; Cricetidae
Source: RefSeq, a predicted model, not a curated record
GCUUGCUUCGGCAACACAUAUACUAAAAUUGGAACAAUACGGAGACGAUUAAAGUGGCUCCUGCACAAGGAUGGCAGGCAAAUUCAUGAAGCAUUCCAUAUUUUU